UACAGAGGGGGCAAGCGUUGUUCGGAAUUAUUGGGCGUAAAGCGCGCGCAGGCGGUCCUUUAAGUCUGAUGUGAAAGCCCACGGCUCAACCGUGGAGGGUCAUUGGAAACUGGGGGACUUGAGUGCAGAAGAGGAAAGCGGAAUUCCACGUGUAGCGGUGAAAUGCGUAGAGAUGUGGAGGAACACCAGUGGCGAAGGCGGCUUUCUGGUCUGUAACUGACGCUGAGGCGCGAAAGCGUGGGGAGCAAACAGG
RNAcentral lists this ribosomal RNA (253 nucleotides) under uncultured bacterium. RNAcentral's name for it is "partial 16S ribosomal RNA". It matches the Rfam family "Bacterial small subunit ribosomal RNA", at positions 524 to 776 of the family's 1533-position model. The record is from RNAcentral.